This 248-nucleotide long non-coding RNA is filed under the name Lathyrus oleraceus (garden pea). RNAcentral describes it as "Pisum sativum (pea) long non-coding RNA (PSAT_LNC039978)". Lineage: Eukaryota; Viridiplantae; Streptophyta; Magnoliopsida; Fabales; Fabaceae. The record is from RNAcentral.
AUUUUAACAGAGGGAAAGGAAAGGGGAGGGGAAAGAUUUUUUUUAAUCGGAUAAGUGUUUGAUUCAAAAGACAGGAGAAUUUUAUUAAUAAUUUAUAUUUUUGUCCUUAUGAUUCUAUAUAAGUGAUAUGAUAUUCAAAUGUGAAAAAUACAUGAUUUUUUUUAUAAUCAGAUUUUAUGCUUUCAAGAAUGAAUUAGUAGAAAAUGAAGUGUUGAAUAAAGAAUUUGAAAUAUUAGAGAGAUUUUAAC